RNAcentral lists this ribosomal RNA (1243 nucleotides) under metagenome. RNAcentral describes it as "bacterial LSU rRNA". It matches the Rfam family "Bacterial large subunit ribosomal RNA", at positions 1564 to 2818 of the family's 2925-position model. The record is from RNAcentral.
UGAAUACGAGAUGCUACGGCGUCGAAGCAGUCUAUGUCAUACUUCCAAGAAAAGCUUGCACUGUCAUAACAAAUAAUGCCUGUACCAUAACCGACACAGGUGGGUAGGUAGAGUAUACUAAGGGGCGCGAGAUAACUCUCUCUAAGGAACUCGGCAAAAUGACUCCGUAACUUCGGGAGAAGGAGUGCCUUAUUUAUAAGGUUGCAAUAACUAGACCCAAGCAACUGUUUAUCAAAAACACAGGUCUCCGCUAAGUCGUAAGACGAUGUAUGGGGGCUGACGCCUGCCCAGUGCCAGAAGGUUAAAGAAGUUGGUUAGCAUUAGCGAAGCUGAUGACUGAAGCCCUGGUGAACGGCGGCCGUAACGAUAACGGUCCUAAGGUAGCGAAAUUCCUUGUCGGGUAAGUUCCGACCCGCACGAAAGGCGUAAUGAUUUGGGUACUGUCUCAGAGAGGGACUCGGUGAAAUAGACUUGUCUGUGAAGAUGCGGACUACCUGCACCUGGACAGAAAGACCCUAUGAAGCUUUACUGUAACCUGAAAUUGAAAUUGGACUUUAUUUGCGCAGUAUAGGUGGGAGGCUUUGAAGAUAUUCUUGCGGGAAUGUUGGAGCCAUCAGUGAGAUACCACUCUUGUAAUGUUAGAUUUCUAACUUUGUAUCAUUAUCUGGUCAAAGAACAGUUUCAGGCGGGCAGUUUGACUGGGGCGGUCGCCUCCUAAACGGUAACGGAGGCGCACAAAGGUUUCCUCUGAACGGGUAGAAAUCGUAUCUAGAGUGUAAAGGCAUAAGGAAGCUUGACUGUGAGACCUACAAGUCGAGCAGGGACGAAAGUCGGUCUUAGUGAUCUGACGGUGCUGAGUGGAAAGGCCGUCACUCAACGGAUAAAAGUUACUCUAGGAUAACAGGCUGAUCUCCCCCAAGAGUUCACAUCGACGGGGAGGUUUGGCACCUCGAUGUCGGCUCAUCGCAUCCUGGGGCGGUAGUACGUCCCAAGGGUUGGGCUGUUCGCCCAUGAAAGCGGUACGCGAGCUGGGUUCAGAACGUCGUGAGACAGUUCGGUCCAUAUCCGGUGUAGGCGUUAGAAUAUUGGGAGGAGCCUUCUCUAGUACGAGAGGACCGAGAAGGACACACCUCUGGUGUACCAGUUAUCGUGCCAACGGUAAACGCUGGGUAGCUAUGUGUGGAGCGGAUAACCGCUGAAAGCAUCUAAGUGGGAAGCCCACCUCAAGAUAAGUAUUCUCAUC